This 419-nucleotide ribosomal RNA is filed under the name uncultured Actinomycetales bacterium. RNAcentral describes it as "bacterial SSU rRNA". It matches the Rfam family "Bacterial small subunit ribosomal RNA", at positions 356 to 774 of the family's 1533-position model. The record is from RNAcentral. Lineage: Bacteria; Bacillati; Actinomycetota; Actinomycetes; Actinomycetales.
GGGGGAUAUUGCACAAUGGACGGAAGUCAGAUGCAGCGACGCCGCGUGGGGGAUGAAGGCUUUCGGGUUGUAAACCUCUUUUAUUCCUGAACAAGGCUUGGAUUGUUGUCUGGGUUGAGGGGAGGGGGUGAAGGAGCCCCGGACAACCACGGUCCAGCAGCCGCGGUAAUACGUAGGGCGCGAGCGUUGUCCGGAUUUAUUGGGCGUAAAGAGCUCGUAGGCGGUUUGUUGCGUCUGCUGUGAAAACGCGGGGCUUAACUUCGCGCGUCCGUGGGUACGGGCAGGCUAGAGUGCGGUAGGGGAGAUUGGAAUUCCUGGUGUAGCGGUGGAAUGCGCAGAUAUCAGGAGGAACACCGAUGGCGAAGGCAGGUCUCUGGGCUGUUACUGACGCUGAGGAGCGAAAGCGUGGGGAGCGAACA